RNAcentral lists this ribosomal RNA (550 nucleotides) under uncultured Planctomycetota bacterium. RNAcentral describes it as "uncultured planctomycete partial 16S ribosomal RNA". Lineage: Bacteria; Pseudomonadati; Planctomycetota. The record is from RNAcentral.
UUCCUUUGAGUUUCAGCCUUGCGACCAUACUCCCCAGGCGGAACACUUAACGCUUUCGCUACGGCCGAGAGGAUGUGGAAGUCCCCUCAACCCAGUGUUCAUCGUUUACGGCUAGGACUACCGGGGUAUCUAAUCCCGUUCGCUACCCUAGCUUUCGUGCCUCAGCGUCAGAAAAGAUCCAGUGAUGCGCUUUCGCCACCGGUGUUCCCUAUGAUAUCAACGCAUUUCACCGCUCCACCAUAAGUUCCCAUCACCCCUAUCUUCCUCGAGCUUGGGGGUUUGAAACGCAAUUCCACGGUUGAGCCGUGGGCUUUCACAUCUCACCUACCAAGCCGCCUACGCACGCUUUAAGCCCAGUGAUACCGAAUAACGUUUGGACGGUUCGUCUUACCGCGGCUGCUGGCACGAACUUAGCCCGUCCUUCCUCUGAAGAUCGGUCAACCAUGAGAGAUAACUCUCAUGGACUUCCUAACUACUGACAGCGGUUUACAACCCGAGGGCCUUCAUCCCGCACGCGGCGUCGCUCGGUCAGACUUUCGUCCAUUGCCGA